GAUGAACGCUGGCGGCGUGCCUAAUACAUGCAAGUCGAGCGAACGGACGAGAAGCUUGCUUCUCUGAUGUUAGCGGCGGACGUGUGAGUAACACGUGGAUAACCUACCUAUAAGACUGGGAUAACUUCGGGAAACCGGAGCUAAUACCGGAUAAUAUUUUGAACCGCAUGGUUCAAAAGUGAAAGACGGUCUUGCUGUCACUUAUAGAUGGAUCCGCGCUGCAUUAGCUAGUUGGUAAGGUAACGGCUUACCAAGGCAACGAUGCAUAGCCGACCUGAGAGCGUGUACGGCCACUCUGAAACUGAGCCGCGGUCCAGACUCCUACGGGAGGCACAAGUAGGGAAUCUUCCGAAAUGGGCGAAAGCCUGCAGGAGGAACGCCGCGUGAGUGCUGAAGGUCUGCGGAUCGUAAAACUCUGUUCUUGGGGAAGACCAUAUGUGUAAGUAACUGUGCACAUCUUGCGGGUACCUAAUAAGAAAGCCACGGCUAACUCCGU
This 496-nucleotide ribosomal RNA is filed under the name uncultured bacterium. Its description in RNAcentral is "partial 16S ribosomal RNA". It matches the Rfam family "Bacterial small subunit ribosomal RNA", at positions 28 to 506 of the family's 1533-position model. The record is from RNAcentral.